GAUGAACGCUGGCGGCGUGCCUAAUACAUGCAAGUCGAACGGACGGACGAGGAGCUUGCUUCUCUGACGUAAGCGGGGGACGGGUGUGAGACACGUGGGUGAAAUAGCUAUAUGAAGGGGGUAACCUCGGGAAACCGGUGCUAAUAACGGAUAAUAUUCUCAACAGCAUGGUGGAGAAGUGUAGGACGGCUUGGCAGUGAAUUAGAGCAGAAGCCGCGUUGCAUUAGCUAGUUGGUAGGGUAACGGCUUACCUAGGCAACGAUGCCUAGCUGACCUGAGAGGGUGAUCGGCCACACUGGAACUGAGCCACGGUCCAGACUCCUACGGGAGGCAGCAGUAGGGAAUCUUGCGCAAUGGGCGAAAGCCUGAUGCAGCCACGCCGCGUGUAUGAUGAAGGCCUUCGGGUCGUAAAGUUCUGUUAUUGGGGAGGAACAGAGUUGUAUUAAUCUGUUCACUUCUUGACGUUACCUAAUCAGAAAGCCACGGCUAACUACGUG
Molecule: ribosomal RNA, 497 nt
Filed under: uncultured bacterium
Lineage: Bacteria
Description: partial 16S ribosomal RNA
Rfam family: Bacterial small subunit ribosomal RNA
Source: RNAcentral